Non-coding RNA from Phoenix dactylifera (date palm), 1337 nucleotides. Lineage: Eukaryota; Viridiplantae; Streptophyta; Magnoliopsida; Arecales; Arecaceae. The record is from RefSeq and is a predicted model, not a curated record.
AGAGUUUUUUCCAGGUUCUCAUUGCUACAUUUUCUAUCAAAACUUAACCUUAGUUCGAAUGCAAUUAUCAAUUAUAGUUGGUCCCAGCUUUUUAUAUUUUUCUUGAAUACAACUGCCAAAGGAAUGGCCUUUUAUUUUAUACUUUAUAGUAUCACGCAUGCAUGCAUAUUCUUCCUUGGCACAUUUGCAUCUCAUGUGAAUGCUCGUCUUCUGUUCUCCUGCACUUGCAUCUGAGUUAGGAAAUUAUGGACAUGCUCAUGCAUAAGCAUGUUUUAGGUAUAAAUCUUAUUGCUCUUCGAAUGCCUUUUUACAUUGAACAGCAUAUGAUUGUCUUUCCUCCAUAUUAGAAGGGAUAUAACCCAAUUAUGUUCCUGGUGAUCUGAGGUCCUGGGAGGGACGAACUAGGGAUAGUCCUAACUUUUGGCAUUCUUGUGCCCAAAGUGGCUGCUCCAGGACUUGAACCUUAUGUCAUUACAUUUGUCAACCCAAGCUUUUUACCAUUGCACGAAGCAAUGACCCCUCGUUUUUUCCUCCACAUUCUAAUUGUAAUUUUCUUUUGCACCCAUCCAUUUGUAAUUUCCAUUCUGACAUUUUGUGGAUGUCCCGUUGGGAAUUGAAUCCUUGGAAGAAACUAUGGUAAUACUGUGGUUUGCUAUGUCCUUGGAGCUGAAAACAUGCCUAUCCAUCCCGCUUUAAGAAUUAGUAUUACUGAUCCUUGUAGUGCAACAUGUUUAUUAAGUCAUGGUUUUUAUGGUGAUAAAUUUUAUCCCCAAAUGCAUCUCUAUCAUUUCGUUCCUAGAUUCAACUUGACAGAUUUGAUCUAAUGCUAUGUUCUGUGAGAACCAUCUCCUCCAUUAUAUCUUGUGAUAAACCAUGGCAUGUCAUGGGAACCCUACACUGCCAUUUUCACAUGUCAUUCAUUUUUCACAGGGGAAUAUUCAGUUGAUGAUGCAUGGAAUUUUCAAGAAUUGCAAGAACAGAUUACAAAGGGAUAUCUCUAAGAGCUGCACAAUCUGUUCCCUCCUAAGUUUACUCCAGUUUCUUUAAGUUGCUGAGAGAACGAUUUCAAUAUCCAGUCAGUUAUUAGUGAGUUAAUUGAAUGCAGAUGGGGCACAGAAACAACAGAUACAAGGGUGAAGCUCUGAAAACACCAAUUCCAAAUUUUCAGUUUUGUGAUGAACUAUUUUUCACUUGGCAGGCAAAAUUCAUGAUGCUCUGAAUUACUAUUAUUAUUAUUAUUAUUAUUAUUAUUAUUAUUGAAUCUUAAAUUUAUCUUUGUUAAAAGGAAAAAUGUUAAAAGUUUAGCAUAUUUGAAGUUUAGAAGACAGAAUUGCAAA